AACAUCGCGCACCUGCGGGAACCUGCGGAAGGAUCAUUAUCGAGUUUACAACUCCCAAACCCCUGUGAACAUACCAAUCGUUGCCUCGGCGGGACCGCCCCCGGCGCCCCCGGGCCCGGACCCAGGCGCCCGCCGGAGGACCCCCAAACUCACUUGAUUCCACGGUGUAUCUUCUGAGUGACACAAGCAAAUAAAAUCAAAACUUUCAGCAACGGAUCU
Molecule: unclassified non-coding RNA, 219 nt
Filed under: soil metagenome
Description: partial contains 5.8S ribosomal RNA, internal transcribed spacer 2, and large subunit ribosomal RNA
Source: RNAcentral